Molecule: ribosomal RNA, 253 nt
Filed under: uncultured bacterium
Lineage: Bacteria
Description: partial 16S ribosomal RNA
Rfam family: Bacterial small subunit ribosomal RNA
Source: RNAcentral
UACAGAGGUCUCAAGCGUUGUUCGGAUUCAUUGGGCGUAAAGGGUGCGUAGGUGGCGCCGUAAGUGGGGUGUGAAAUUUCGGAGCUUAACUCCGAAACUGCAUUCCAUACUGCGGUGCUUGAGGACUGGAGAGGAGACUGGAAUUCAUGGUGUAGCAGUGAAAUGCGUAGAGAUCAUGAGGAAGACCAGUGGCGAAGGCGGGUCUCUGGACAGUUCCUGACACUGAGGCACGAAGGCCAGGGGAGCAAACGGG